Rosa chinensis is the source of this 1328-nucleotide long non-coding RNA. RefSeq lists it as uncharacterized. NCBI's taxonomy places the organism in Eukaryota, Viridiplantae, Streptophyta, Magnoliopsida, Rosales, Rosaceae. The transcript is spliced from 3 exons. The record is from RefSeq and is a predicted model, not a curated record.
GAGAGAGAGAGAGAGAGAGAGAGAAAACUCGUCGGAGACUUACGGGAAUCCGGUCACUAGACCUCGAAAUCUCGUCACUGGUCACCGGUAGCUAGAAGUCUUUAAAGAGCUCGUCGGAGACUUUUAUUGCCCCUGAUAAUUUUUUUUUGCCUCCCAAUAAAAAGGUUUUUUUGAAGGUCAAUAAAAACUUUUUAUUGAGAGGCAAUAAAAGUUUAUUGAGGGAAAGGGAGCAAAUUUCCCUAAAAUUAGAUAAAUAAAAUUUUGAUUGAGGAAGAAUAUGAGGAUAUUGCAUCAAUUCACAAUCUUUUAUUGGGGUGGGGGAAUAAAAGUUUAUCGAGUUUUAUAAUAAAAGUUAUAUAUACAAACUCCACGUACUACCACUUUUGUUUUAUAAUCACUACACACUAAAAAAUGAAAGGUUCAAUUACGUAUUUAGUUUUACAAGGUCCACGGAGAUCUCAUAAAAUUUUUAGGAGAUUUAUUGACUCUCAAUGCAAGUUUGUUGACCCUCAAUAAAUGUUGUUAUUGCCUUUUAAUAAAACUUUUAUUGACCAUAAUAAAAAAUUUAGUAACUCCCAAUAAAACUUUUAUCCAGAGUAAAAAAACUGAACAAAAUGUUAAGUAAUCUAAUUUAAUUGCAUAAUGCAAAUGGAGCUUUUUAGAACUGUCAUGCACACAAAGAAUAGUUCACUAGAGAUGAUCACUAUGAAUAAGGAUGAAAGAAUAUUCAAGAUGUCUUCUAUAUUCUUUUCUUUUUUUGUCUGAACUCAAGAUUAUUUCCAGCAAUUGCAUAACCAAACAAAAGGAACACAAAUACGUACAUAGGCGGUCAUCCAUUCCGGCAGGUGAAUAUCUGAAUUGGUAAAAUCCAAAUUUGAGUUUGUGUCCAACUGGUGUAGGUGGAGCUUGUAAAGAGAAAAACACCUUCCGACUUGCUUCUGCCGGAGGACAAGAAGAUCUCCACUAGGACAAUACUCCAUUACUAAACAAGAAAGAUUAUCUGAUGCAAACUGGGAACGAGAAAAGGAUAAUCCUAACCACUAACCAUUACCCACCACUCCAGCACCGCGCAACCUCCAUUGAAAUGACGUCGUUUCUGCACUUGCCAGCAACUUCCUUUCUUCCUUCUUCUCUCCGCGGAGCUUCCCUCACAGCUCGGCCCAAUCCCAGCUCGCUCUGUCCGACCCGGUUGAGUGUUAAAUGCAGGCAUGCACAGGCUAGUGUAAAGAGCGAGGAUUUUAAUUCUGGCGCCAUAGACGUUGCGGCUGACGUUAGGCUUGAACGGGUAAGCACAAAUUCACAGACCUUAUCCCGUCUGGAAUCGAAUU